Thalassophryne amazonica is the source of this 180-nucleotide long non-coding RNA. RefSeq lists it as uncharacterized. Lineage: Eukaryota; Metazoa; Chordata; Actinopteri; Batrachoidiformes; Batrachoididae. The transcript is spliced from 2 exons. The record is from RefSeq and is a predicted model, not a curated record.
UUCCUUGGUCUUUGGUAGUAGGCUUGUGUUCCCAGUCAUCUUUCCCCUGUAUGAACCAUCAUGUGUCUGUCUAGGUCACCCUUUCGUCCAAAUCUGCGACCACAUUCGGAACAGCCAAAUUGUUUGUGUCCUGUGUGAAUUAUCAUGUGUCUUUUUAGGUGGCCCUUUAAUCCAAAUCUG